CGCGGGGUGGAGCAGUUUGGUAGCUCGUCGGGCUCAUAACCCGAAGGUCGUUGGUUCAAAUCCAGCCCCCGCAACCA
This 77-nucleotide transfer RNA is filed under the name Pseudomonas aeruginosa. RNAcentral's name for it is "tRNA-Met". It matches the Rfam family "tRNA". Rfam says of the family: Transfer RNA (tRNA) molecules are approximately 80 nucleotides in length. Their secondary structure includes four short double-helical elements and three loops (D, anti-codon, and T loops). The record is from RNAcentral. Lineage: Bacteria; Pseudomonadati; Pseudomonadota; Gammaproteobacteria; Pseudomonadales; Pseudomonadaceae. RNAcentral also lists the same sequence under 191 other names.